AUGCUCUCUUCGGCCCCCAUACAUACUAAAAUUGGAACCAUACAGAGAUUAGCAUGGCUCCUGAGCAGGGAUGACAUGCAAACUCAUGAAGCAUUCUAUAUUUUU
Neogale vison (American mink) is the source of this 105-nucleotide small nuclear RNA. The record is from Ensembl. NCBI's taxonomy places the organism in Eukaryota, Metazoa, Chordata, Mammalia, Carnivora, Mustelidae.